UACGUAGGGCGCAAGCGUUGUCCGGAAUUAUUGGGCGUAAAGAGCUCGUAGGCGGUCUGUCGCGUCUGCUGUGAAAACUCAGGGCUUAACCCUGAGCUUGCAGUGGGUACGGGCAGACUAGAGUGCGGUAGGGGGAGACUGGAAUUCCUGGUGUAGCGGUGAAAUGCGCAGAUAUCAGGAGGAACACCGGUGGCGAAGGCGGGUCUCUGGGCCGUAACUGACGCUGAGGAGCGAAAGCAUGGGGAGCGAACAGG
RNAcentral lists this ribosomal RNA (254 nucleotides) under uncultured bacterium. RNAcentral's name for it is "partial 16S ribosomal RNA". It matches the Rfam family "Bacterial small subunit ribosomal RNA", at positions 524 to 776 of the family's 1533-position model. The record is from RNAcentral.